AUGUCAAGUUCAGGUUAUCCUCCCAACCAAGGAGCAUUCAGCACAGAAUAAAGUUGUUAUCCUCCUCACUCUGUAAAGUAUACAUUUCCCAGCACCUGCCACCAGCAGGAUCCAGCAUUUGGAGGCAUACAUGAAACUCCAUCCUCUCCAAUUUCAGGGCAACCAUGUGGAGAUGAUCAAAAUGCUUCACCUUCAAAACUUUCAAAGGAAGAGUUAAUACAGAGUAUGGAUCGUGUAAAUCGAGAAAUUGCAAAAGUACAACACCAGAUCCUUAAACUGAAAAAGAAACAAGUAAAUGUCUUU
RNAcentral lists this long non-coding RNA (303 nucleotides) under Homo sapiens (human). Its description in RNAcentral is "non-protein coding lnc-ZNF716-4:4". The record is from RNAcentral. Lineage: Eukaryota; Metazoa; Chordata; Mammalia; Primates; Hominidae.